RNAcentral lists this long non-coding RNA (1323 nucleotides) under Homo sapiens (human). RNAcentral's name for it is "HSALNT0356264". The record is from RNAcentral. Lineage: Eukaryota; Metazoa; Chordata; Mammalia; Primates; Hominidae.
GUGGAAGGCAGAGAGCGCUGGAGCUGGACAGGGAGAUGAGAAGGCAGUCUGAGAGGUGAGAGCAGCCUCCGGGAAGACCUGUUUCCUGGAAGCCAAGCCAGGAGGCAGCUCAAGGAGGAAAGUGAAAUGUUGCAGAAAUCAGGGUUAAAGAGAUCACUAGCUUUUAGAAGGAGGUGGAUAUUUUGACUUGGGAAAAGAAUUUCAGUGAGAUGGUAGUAGUAGGCAUCAGACAGUUAGGGGCAAAACACAUGUUGGAAGACAGGAAGAAGUCCUGGAGAUUUAUCCUGGAAAUCUUUGUCAGAGAAGAGACUGGGGUAUUAAACUGAUGGAUGAGGCCAGGCACGGUGGCUCAUGCCUGUAAUCCCAGCACUUUGAGAGGCUGAGGUGGGUGGAUCACUUGAGGUCAGGAGUUCAAGACCAGCCUGGCCAACAUGGCAAAACCCUGUCUCUACUAAAAAUACAAAAAUUAGCCAGGUAUGGUGGCCCAUGCCUGUAGUCCCAGCUACUCGGGAGUCUGAGGCAUGAGAAUUGCUUGAACCUGGGAGAGGGAGGUUGCAGCGAGUUGCGAUUAUACCACUGCACUCCAGCCUGGGUGACAGAGCGAGACUCUGUCUACAUAAAGUAAUAAACUAAUAAAUUGAGUGGGUGAAAGUGUUGCUCUCAAGUUUUUUAGAUUAGAAGUGAUGCAAUCAAGUUAUCAAGCAGAAGAGAAGGAGUGACUGGAGUGAAGACAAGGAUAAAAGGUGCCAAACAGGACCAGGCAUGGUGGCUUACGCCUGUAAUCCCAACACUUGCGGAGGCCAAGGUGGGAGGAUCGCUUGAGGCCAGGAGUUUGAGAACAGACUGGGCAGCAGAGUGAGGCCCUUGUCUCUAUUAAAAAAAAAUAAAUAAAUAAAAGUGCAAGACUGGUGGAGCCGAAUGGCGAAAAAUCCUCCAGGAGAUGGGAGAGAAAAGGAUCAGGAACAAAGGCCCUCUCCCAAGAGAGAGAAAAAGAGAAGGAAAAAAAUUCAGAAGUUGGGGCGGUGAGGAGCAGCCGUCGGUGGCCUGGUGGCAGUUUAUAGGCCCAGGGCCAUAUGUCCCAGAGUGACAUGCAGGGUUGCAAUUCUGCAAUGACAAAGAACAGCUGCGGUGACCACAGCGUGAACCACGACUGAUGACAAUCUGCAGGGAUUUUUGCAUCAAACCGGCAGUGUGGCUCGCAUAAUGGAUGAUGUCAUCCUUGAAGGCAGAAACCAUGUGUCCCCAGAAGUAUGUUGGCUCUCAAUAAGUAGCUGUUGAAUAAAUGAGUUGCUGGAUAUUCACAACUCACAUUUGCUAAGCGUG